This is a long non-coding RNA of Telopea speciosissima, 199 nucleotides long. RefSeq lists it as uncharacterized. The transcript has 5 exons. Lineage: Eukaryota; Viridiplantae; Streptophyta; Magnoliopsida; Proteales; Proteaceae. The record is from RefSeq and is a predicted model, not a curated record.
UCUGAUCUGUGGCUUGGCUAAGGGAACCCACCGGAGCAGUAGCGAAAGUGAGUCUUCAUAGGGCAAUUGUCAUUGCUUAUGGACCCGAACCUGGAUGAUCUAUCCAUGAUCAGGAUGAAGCUUGGGUGAAACUAAGUAGAGGUCCGAACCGACUGAUGUUGAAGAAUCAGCGGAUGAGUUGUGGUUAGUGGUGAAACAU